RNAcentral lists this ribosomal RNA (254 nucleotides) under uncultured bacterium. RNAcentral's name for it is "partial 16S ribosomal RNA". It matches the Rfam family "Bacterial small subunit ribosomal RNA", at positions 524 to 776 of the family's 1533-position model. The record is from RNAcentral.
CACGUAGGGGGCAAGCGUUGUCCGGAUUUAUUGGGCGUAAAGAGCUCGUAGGUGGUUCGGUAAGUCGGGUGUUAAACCCCCAGGCUCAACCUGGGGACGCCACUCGAUACUGCUGUGACUAGAGUCCGGUAGGGGAGCGUGGAAUUCCUGGUGUAGCGGUGAAAUGCGCAGAUAUCAGGAGGAACACCAGUGGCGAAGGCGGUGCUCUGGGCCGAAACUGACGCUGAGGAGCGAAAGCGUGGGUAGCAAACAGG